Molecule: non-coding RNA, 29 nt
Filed under: Rattus norvegicus (Norway rat)
Lineage: Eukaryota; Metazoa; Chordata; Mammalia; Rodentia; Muridae
Source: RNAcentral
UGCUUUGCUUAACACCAACUGACAGACUC